GAUGAACGCUGGCGGCGUGCCUAAUACAUGCAAGUCGAGCGAACGGACGAGAAGCUUGCUUCUCUGAUGUUAGCGGCGGACGGGUGAGUAACACGUGGAUAACCUACCUAUAAGACUGGGAUAACUUCGGGAAACCGGAGCUACUACCGGAUAAUAUUUUGAACCGCUUGGUUCAAAAGUGAAAGACGGUCUUGCUGUCACUUAUAGAUGGAUCCGCGCUGCAUUAGCUAGUUGGUAAGGUAACGGCUUACCAAGGCAACGAUGCAUAGCCGACCUGAGAGGGUGAUCGGCCACACUGGAACUGAGACACGGUCCAGACUCCUACGGGAGGCAGCAGUAGGGAAUCUUCCGCAAUGGGCGAAAGCCUGACGGAGCAACGCCGCGUGAGUGAUGAAGGUCUUCGGAUCGUAAAACUCUGUUAUUAGGGAAGAACAUAUGUGUAAGUAACUGUGCACAUCUUGACGGUACCUAAUCAGAAAGCCACGGCUAACUACGUG
This 497-nucleotide ribosomal RNA is filed under the name uncultured bacterium. Its description in RNAcentral is "partial 16S ribosomal RNA". It matches the Rfam family "Bacterial small subunit ribosomal RNA", at positions 28 to 507 of the family's 1533-position model. The record is from RNAcentral.